RNAcentral lists this ribosomal RNA (99 nucleotides) under Chinchilla lanigera (long-tailed chinchilla). The record is from RNAcentral. Lineage: Eukaryota; Metazoa; Chordata; Mammalia; Rodentia; Chinchillidae.
GUCUAUGGCCAUACCACCCUGAACACCCCUGAUCUCAUCUGAUCUUAGAAGCUAAGAAAGGUUGAGCCUGGUUAGUACUUGGAUAGGGAGAUAUUGCUU